Molecule: ribosomal RNA, 549 nt
Filed under: Clostridium butyricum
Lineage: Bacteria; Bacillati; Bacillota; Clostridia; Eubacteriales; Clostridiaceae
Description: bacterial SSU rRNA
Rfam family: Bacterial small subunit ribosomal RNA
Source: RNAcentral
GCUCCUUCGGGAGUGGAUUAGCGGCGGACGGGUGAGUAACACGUGGGUAACCUGCCUCAUAGAGGGGAAUAGCCUUUCGAAAGGAAGAUUAAUACCGCAUAAGAUUGUAGUACCGCAUGGUACAGCAAUUAAAGGAGUAAUCCGCUAUGAGAUGGACCCGCGUCGCAUUAGCUAGUUGGUGAGGUAACGGCUCACCAAGGCGACGAUGCGUAGCCGACCUGAGAGGGUGAUCGGCCACAUUGGGACUGAGACACGGCCCAGACUCCUACGGGAGGCAGCAGUGGGGAAUAUUGCACAAUGGGGGAAACCCUGAUGCAGCAACGCCGCGUGAGUGAUGACGGUCUUCGGAUUGUAAAGCUCUGUCUUUAGGGACGAUAAUGACGGUACCUAAGGAGGAAGCCACGGCUAACUACGUGCCAGCAGCCGCGGUAAUACGUAGGUGGCAAGCGUUGUCCGGAUUUACUGGGCGUAAAGGGAGCGUAGGUGGAUAUUUAAGUGGGAUGUGAAAUACCCGGGCUUAACCUGGGUGCUGCAUUCCAAACUGGAUAU